AGUACGGCGGAACACGAGAAAUUCCGUCGGAAUCCGCGGGGACCAUCCCGCAAGGCUAAAUACUCCCUAGUGACCGAUAGUGAACCAGUACCGUGAGGGAAAGGUGAAAAGCACCCCGGAAGGGGAGUGAAAUAGAUCCUGAAACCGUGUGCCUACAACAAGUCAAAGCUCGUUAAUGAGUGAUGGCGUGCCUUUUGUAGAAUGAACCGGCGAGUUACGAUUGCAUGCGAGGUUAAGUCGAAGAGACGGAGCCGCAGCGAAAGCGAGUCUGAAUAGGGCGAAUGAGUAUGUAGUCGUAGACCCGAAACCAUGUGAUCUACCCAUGUCCAGGUUGAAGGUGCGGUAAAACGCACUGGAGGACCGAACCCACGUACGUUGAAAAGUGCGGGGAUGAGGUGUGGGUAGCGGAGAAAUUCCAAACGAACUUGGAGAUAGCUGGUUCUCUCCGAAAUAGCUUUAGGGCUAGCCUCGGAAUUGAGAAUGAUGGAGGUAGAGCACUGUUUGGACUAGGGGCCCAUCUCGGGUUACCGAAUUCAGAUAAACUCCGAAUGCCAUUCAUUUAUAUCCGGGAGUCAGACUGCGAGUGAUAAGAUCCGUAGUCGAAAGGGAAACAGCCCAGACCACCAGCUAAGGUCCCAAAAUAUAUGUUAAGUGGAAAAGGAUGUGGGGUUGCACAGACAACUAGGAUGUUGGCUUAGAAGCAGCCACCAUUUAAAGAGUGCGUAAUAGCUCACUAGUCGAGUGACCCUGCGCCGAAAAUGUACCGGGGCUAAACAUAUUACCGAAGCUGUGGACUACACCAUUAGGUGUAGUGGUAGGAGAGCGUUCUAAGGGCGUUGAAGGUCGAUCGUGAGGACGGCUGGAGCGCUUAGAAGUGAGAAUGCCGGUAUGAGUAGCGAAAGACAGGUGAGAAUCCUGUCCACCGUAUGACUAAGGUUUCCUGGGGAAGGCUCGUCCGCCCAGGGUUAGUCGGGACCUAAGCCGAGGCCGAUAGGCGUAGGCGAUGGACAACAGGUUGAUAUUCCUGUACCAGUUGUUUUUGUUUGAGCAAUGGAGGGACGCAGUAGGCUAAGGAAUGCAUGCGAUUGGAAGUGCAUGUCCAAGCAAUGAGUCUUGAGUAGAGUUAAAUGCUUUACUCUCUAAGGACAAGUUGUGACGGGGAG
Molecule: ribosomal RNA, 1163 nt
Filed under: Enterococcus faecalis
Lineage: Bacteria; Bacillati; Bacillota; Bacilli; Lactobacillales; Enterococcaceae
Description: partial 23S ribosomal RNA
Rfam family: Bacterial large subunit ribosomal RNA
Source: RNAcentral